RNAcentral lists this ribosomal RNA (477 nucleotides) under uncultured bacterium. RNAcentral describes it as "partial 16S ribosomal RNA". It matches the Rfam family "Bacterial small subunit ribosomal RNA", at positions 28 to 507 of the family's 1533-position model. The record is from RNAcentral.
GAUAAACGCUGGCGGAGUGCAUAACACAUGCAAGUCGAACGAUGAAGAUUAAAAGAUUUCUUCGGAAUGAACUUAAUUGGAUUAGUGGCGGACGGGUGAGUAACGCGUGAGUAACCUGCCUUGUACAAGGGGAUAGCCGUUGGAAACGACGAAUAAUACCCUAUGACAUCAAAUAAUCGCAUGAUAAUUUGAUCAAAGAUUUAUCGGUAUAAGAUGGACUCGCGUCUGAUUAGCUAGUUGGUAGAGUAAAAGCCUACCAAGGCAACGAUCAGUAGCCGGCUUGAGAGAGUGUACGGCCACAUUGGGACUGAGACACGGCCCAGACUCCUACGGGAGGCAGCAGUGGGGAAUUUUGCACAAUGGGGGAAACCCUGAUGCAGCGACGCCGCGUGAUUUAGAAGGCCUUCGGGUUGUAAAAAUCUUUUGUAUGGGAAGAAAAUGACAGUACCAUACGAAUAAGGACCGGCUAAUUACGUG